This 936-nucleotide ribosomal RNA is filed under the name Triticum aestivum (bread wheat). RNAcentral describes it as "partial small subunit ribosomal RNA". Lineage: Eukaryota; Viridiplantae; Streptophyta; Magnoliopsida; Poales; Poaceae. The record is from RNAcentral.
UUGUAUAAUGCGCUGACAACAAUAUUGGUUAACAUUGAUGAGCAUGCAAGGAUAUUUGAUUUCGACAGUGAAUUGCAGCUUGCAAAGCUUCAGCAUUCCAAUCUUAUUAGGUUGCUGGGGUGGUGCAUUCAUGGGAAAGAAAGGAUUCUUGUCUAUGAGUUCAUGCAAAAUAGUUCCUUGGACCAUUACAUAUCUGACAGAACAAAAGGGCAAUUGCUAGACUGGUCUAAGCGAUUCAAGAUAAUUAUAGGUUUAACAGAGGGCCUUGUUUACCUGCAUAAAGGUUCCAUGUCCUGCCUUGUCCAUAGAGACUUGAAACCACAUAAUAUCCUCUUGGAUUAUAACAUGAGCCCGAAGAUGACUGAUUUUGGAUCAGCUAGGACACUGAGUUCAGAUAUAGAAGAAGGGCGCACAAGUAGGGUCGUGGGAACCAGUGGUUACAAAGCUCCAGAGUAUGCCUCUCGAGGAGUUUACUCGACGAAGAUAGAUGUGUUCAGCUUUGGCAUUUUCGUUCUGGUGAUUAUUAGUGGCCAAAAGAAUACCAUACUCGACAAGCGAGGGGAUACUGUUGGUGAUCUUGUACGAGAUGCCUGGCAUAUGUGGAAGGACCCAAGGUUGCAUGAGCUUGUGGAUCCGUUGUUAGGGGACAGAUAUGAAGUCGCUGAGAUAACGAGAUGCGCUCAAGUGGCACUGCUUUGUGCCCAGGAAGAUCCAGCAGAUCGACCCGCCAUGACAGAUGUUGCUGCAAUGCUGAACUCUGAAAGCAUAAGCUUAACAAUGGAGCCUAAGCAGCCCGCUGCGCUAAUCCAUGGGUGUGCCGACAGAGGCACGACAACAACAUACAUGGGCCAAUCAAGCAGUACAAUAGAAGUAACCAUAACGAGUUCAGCUCCAAUGUCGACCAGAGUUCAAAUCAUUCUUGACCCGGAGGUUUGA